Molecule: ribosomal RNA, 568 nt
Filed under: Fusarium avenaceum
Lineage: Eukaryota; Fungi; Ascomycota; Sordariomycetes; Hypocreales; Nectriaceae
Description: eukaryotic LSU rRNA
Rfam family: 5.8S ribosomal RNA (bases 195-348)
Source: RNAcentral
UCGUAACAAGGUCUCCGUUGGUGAACCAGCGGAGGGAUCAUUACCGAGUUUACAACUCCCAAACCCCUGUGAACAUACCUUAAUGUUGCCUCGGCGGAUCAGCCCGCGCCCCGUAAAACGGGACGGCCCGCCAGAGGACCCAAACUCUAAUGUUUCUUAUUGUAACUUCUGAGUAAAACAAACAAAUAAAUCAAAACUUUCAACAACGGAUCUCUUGGUUCUGGCAUCGAUGAAGAACGCAGCAAAAUGCGAUAAGUAAUGUGAAUUGCAGAAUUCAGUGAAUCAUCGAAUCUUUGAACGCACAUUGCGCCCGCUGGUAUUCCGGCGGGCAUGCCUGUUCGAGCGUCAUUUCAACCCUCAAGCCCCCGGGUUUGGUGUUGGGGAUCGGCUCUGCCCUUCUGGGCGGUGCCGCCCCCGAAAUACAUUGGCGGUCUCGCUGCAGCCUCCAUUGCGUAGUAGCUAACACCUCGCAACUGGAACGCGGCGCGGCCAUGCCGUAAAACCCCAACUUCUGAAUGUUGACCUCGGAUCAGGUAGGAAUACCCGCUGAACUUAAGCAUAUCAAUAA